This 86-nucleotide transfer RNA is filed under the name Vibrio phage VH1_2019. RNAcentral's name for it is "tRNA-Tyr". It matches the Rfam family "tRNA". From Rfam's summary of the family: Transfer RNA (tRNA) molecules are approximately 80 nucleotides in length. Their secondary structure includes four short double-helical elements and three loops (D, anti-codon, and T loops). Lineage: Duplodnaviria; Heunggongvirae; Uroviricota; Caudoviricetes; Pantevenvirales; Straboviridae. RNAcentral also lists the same sequence under 1 other name. The record is from RNAcentral.
GGAGCGUAAGCCGCAAGGUGCGGCAGCGGACUGUAAAUCCGUGUCCCGUAAUGGGAAGAGAGGUUCGAUUCCUCUACGCUCCACCA